This 3135-nucleotide ribosomal RNA is filed under the name Sinorhizobium alkalisoli. Its description in RNAcentral is "Ensifer sp. YIC4027 Bacterial large subunit ribosomal RNA". It matches the Rfam family "Bacterial large subunit ribosomal RNA". The record is from Rfam by way of RNAcentral. Lineage: Bacteria; Pseudomonadati; Pseudomonadota; Alphaproteobacteria; Hyphomicrobiales; Rhizobiaceae.
GAUCAAGUGUCAAAAGGGCAUUUGGUGGAUGCCUUGGCAUGCACAGGCGAUGAAGGACGUGAUACGCUGCGAUAAGCCGUGGGGAGCUGCGAAUGAGCUUUGAUCCAUGGAUCUCCGAAUGGGGCAACCCACCUUAAAUACUUGGAAAAUUUAAGUCGUGCGCGAGCACGGCUUAAGUUUCCAAGUAUUGUUACAAGGUAUCUUAUUCUGAAUACAUAGGGAUAAGAAGCGAACGCAGGGAACUGAAACAUCUAAGUACCUGCAGGAAAGGACAUCAACCGAGACUCCGCAAGUAGUGGCGAGCGAACGCGGACCAGGCCAGUGGCAAUGCGGAAUGAAGUGGAAUGAUCUGGAAAGGUCGGCCGUAGCGGGUGACAGCCCCGUACACGUAGAACACGCAUUGUCCUUGAGUAAGGCGGGACACGUGAAAUCCUGUCUGAACAUGGGGAGACCACUCUCCAAGCCUAAGUACUCGUGCAUGACCGAUAGCGAACAAGUACCGNGGGGAGACCACUCUCCAAGCCUAAGUACUCGUGCAUGACCGAUAGCGAACAAGUACCGUGAGGGAAAGGUGAAAAGCACCCCGACAAGGGGAGUGAAAUAGAACCUGAAACCGGAUGCCUACAAACAGUCGGAGCCCGCCCUUCAAAUUCCUUGGAGGGGCGUUUCGAAUGUCUCGUCGUUUGCGGCGGGAAUUUGAAAGACUUUAAAAGCGCCCACAAAUGCAAGGCAUUUGAUGGGUGGGUGACGGCGUACCUUUUGUAUAAUGGGUCAACGACUUAGUGUGACAUGCAAGCUUAAGCCGGUAGGUGGAGGCGUAGCGAAAGCGAGUCUGAAGNGUGAGGGAAAGGUGAAAAGCACCCCGACAAGGGGAGUGAAAUAGAACCUGAAACCGGAUGCCUACAAACAGUCGGAGCCCGCAAGGGUGACGGCGUACCUUUUGUAUAAUGGGUCAACGACUUAGUGUGACAUGCAAGCUUAAGCCGGUAGGUGGAGGCGUAGCGAAAGCGAGUCUGAACAGGGCGCCUUAGUAUGUCGCAUUAGACCCGAAACCGAGUGAUCUAGCCAUGAGCAGGUUGAAGGUUGGGUAACACCAACUGGAGGACCGAACCCGCAUCUGUUGCAAUAGAUUGGGAUGACUUGUGGCUAGGGGUGAAAGGCCAAUCAAACUCGGAAAUAGCUGGUUCUCCGCGAAAUCUAUUUAGGUAGAGCGUCGACCGAAUACCCCCGGGGGUAGAGCACUGGAUGGGCUAUGGGGACUCACCGUCUUACUGAUCCUAACCAAACUCCGAAUACCGGGGAGUACUAGUCGGCAGACACACGGCGGGUGCUAACGUCCGUCGUGAAGAGGGCAACAACCCUGACCUCCAGCUAAGGUCCCCAAGUCAUGGCUAAGUGGGAAAGGAUGUGAGGAUCCCAAAACAACCAGGAUGUUGGCUUAGAAGCAGCCAUCAUUUAAAGAAAGCGUAACAGCUCACUGGUCUAAACAAGGGUCUUUGCGCCGAAAAUGUAACGGGGCUGAAGCCAUGCACCGAAGCUGAGGAUACGUCGCAAGACGUGUGGUAGCGGAGCGUUCCGUAAGCCCGUGAAGGGAUACCCGUGAGGGGUCCUGGAGGUAUCGGAAGUGCGAAUGUUGACAUGAGUAACGAUAAAGAGGGUGAGAGACCCUCUCGCCGAAAGACCAAGGGUUCCUGCUUAAAGUUAAUCUGAGCAGGGUUAGCCGGCCCCUAAGACGAGGCGGACACGCGUAGUCGAUGGGAACCACGUUAAUAUUCGUGGGCCUGGUGGUAGUGACGGAUCGCUUGACUUGUCCGGACUUAUUGGAUUGUCCGGGCUUGGACGCGGUUCCAGGAAAUAGCUCCACCGUAUAGACCGUACCCGAAACCGACACAGGUGGUCAGGUAGAGUAUACCAAGGCGCUUGAGAGAACUAUGUUGAAGGAACUCGGCAAAUUGCACGCGUAACUUCGGAAGAAGCGUGACCCCAUUAUGGGCAACCAUGAUGGGGUGGCACAGACCAGGGGGUAGCGACUGUUUAUCAAAAACACAGGGCUCUGCGAAGUCGCAAGACGACGUAUAGGGUCUGACGCCUGCCCGGUGCUGGAAGGUUAAGAGGAGGGGUGCAAGCUCUGAAUCGAAGCCCCAGUAAACGGCGGCCGUAACUAUAACGGUCCUAAGGUAGCGAAAUUCCUUGUCGGGUAAGUUCCGACCUGCACGAAUGGCGUAACGACUUCCCCGCUGUCUCCAACAUAGACUCAGUGAAAUUGAAUUCCCCGUGAAGAUGCGGGGUUCCUGCGGUCAGACGGAAAGACCCCGUGCACCUUUACUAUAGCUUUACACUGGCAUUCGUGUCGGCAUGUGUAGGAUAGGUGGUAGGCUUUGAAGCGGGGACGCCAGUUCUCGUGGAGCCAUCCUUGAAAUACCACCCUUAUCGUCAUGGAUGUCUAACCGCGGUCCGUCAUCCGGAUCCGGGACAGUGUAUGGUGGGUAGUUUGACUGGGGCGGUCGCCUCCGAAAGAGUAACGGAGGCGCGCGAUGGUGGGCUCAGAGCGGUCGGAAAUCGCUCGUCGAGUGCAAUGGCAUAAGCCCGCCUGACUGCGAGACUGACAAGUCGAGCAGAGACGAAAGUCGGUCAUAGUGAUCCGGUGGUCCCGCGUGGAAGGGCCAUCGCUCAACGGAUAAAAGGUACGCCGGGGAUAACAGGCUGAUGACCCCCAAGAGUCCAUAUCGACGGGGUUGUUUGGCACCUCGAUGUCGGCUCAUCGCAUCCUGGGGCUGGAGCAGGUCCCAAGGGUUUGGCUGUUCGCCAAUUAAAGCGGUACGUGAGCUGGGUUCAGAACGUCGUGAGACAGUUCGGUCCCUAUCUGCCGUGGGUGUAGGAAUAUUGACAGGAUCUGUCCCUAGUACGAGAGGACCGGGAUGGACAUAUCUCUGGUGGACCUGUUGUCCUGCCAAGGGCAUAGCAGGGUAGCUAUAUAUGGAAGGGAUAACCGCUGAAGGCAUCUAAGCGGGAAACCCACCUGAAAACGAGUAUUCCCUCGAGAACCGUGGAAGACGACCACGUUGAUAGGCCGGGUGUGGAAGUGCGGCAACGCAUGAAGCUUACCGGUACUAAUCGUUCGAUCGGCUUGAUCGU